RNAcentral lists this ribosomal RNA (468 nucleotides) under uncultured bacterium. RNAcentral's name for it is "partial 16S ribosomal RNA". It matches the Rfam family "Bacterial small subunit ribosomal RNA", at positions 28 to 507 of the family's 1533-position model. The record is from RNAcentral.
GAUGAACGCUGGCGGCGUGCCUAACACAUGCAAGUCGAACGGAAAGGCCCUGCUUUUGCGGGGUGCUCGAGUGGCGAACGGGUGUGUAACACGUGAGUAAACCGCCCUUGACUUUGGGAUAACUUUAGGAAACUGGGGAUAAUACCGGAUAGGAGCUCUUGCUGCAUGGGGGGGGUUGGAAAGAUUCGGCGGUUGGGGAUGGACUCGAGGCUUAUCAGCUUGUUGGUGGGGUAGUGGCAUACGAAGGCUUUGACGGAUAGCCGGCCUGAGAGGGUGACCGGCCACAUGGGUACUAAGAGACGGCCCAGACUGCAACGGAACGCAGAGGUCGAGAAUAUUACACAGUAGGCGGAAGCCUGAUGCGGCAACGCCGCGUGCGGAAUAACGGCCUUCGGGUUGUGAACCACUUUCGCCUUAGCCGAAGCGUGAGUGACGGUAAUGGGUAAAGAAGCACCGGCUAACUACGUG